AUAAAAUCGAUUUUUUCCCAAAGACAGCUUUCUCUCCAAGAAACAACAACAAAAACAACCAUGUUAAGAAUCAUAAUAAUCUCAAAUAAAAGCUUUGCCUUUUGAAUAUAAGUUCCCCUCCACCUGCCCAAGGUUUUCUUGCUCUUUCUGAAGUGGAUAAGGAUUUAAUGAGAGGAAAAACCAUGAACUCUGCGUGGGAAACCAGAAUCUUCCCAUGAAAAUUCCAGCUUUACUCCUGCAACACCACUGAAGCACCGGGCAGACGCCUGGAACUGCAAUGGGUACAGAUGUGAGGGAUGCAUUCCCCCACAGCCAUGCCUGGAUGCUGCACACCCAAGCACAGGAAAUGAAAACACUCUUCUAUCUUCCUGUGUGAGAGAUGUCUUACAAGAAGAGAAGGGAUCCG
This 406-nucleotide long non-coding RNA is filed under the name Gallus gallus (chicken). Its description in RNAcentral is "lncRNA (ENSGALG00010000490.1)". Lineage: Eukaryota; Metazoa; Chordata; Aves; Galliformes; Phasianidae. The record is from RNAcentral.